GUCAGGAUGGCCGAGUGGUCUAAGCGCUGCGUUAAGUUCGCAGUCUCCCCCGGAGGCGUGGGGUUCAAAUCCCACUUCUGACA
Gasterosteus aculeatus (three-spined stickleback) is the source of this 83-nucleotide non-coding RNA. The record is from Rfam. Lineage: Eukaryota; Metazoa; Chordata; Actinopteri; Perciformes; Gasterosteidae.